Molecule: ribosomal RNA, 800 nt
Filed under: uncultured rumen bacterium
Lineage: Bacteria
Description: bacterial SSU rRNA
Rfam family: Bacterial small subunit ribosomal RNA
Source: RNAcentral
GGUUGACCGAGUGGCGAACGGGUGAGUAAUACAUAAGCAACCUGCCCACGAAGACCGGGAUAAUCUCUGGAAACGGGGACUAAAACCGGAUAGGCAGCAAUGAGGCAUCUCAAUGCUGUUAAAGGUGAGGGACACUGGUGGAUGGGCUUAUGGCGCAUUAGUUAGUUGGUGAGGUAACGGCCCACCAAGACGAUGAUGCGUAGCCGGCCUGAGAGGGUGAACGGCCACAUUGGGACUGAGACACGGCCCAGACUCCUACGGGAGGCAGCAGUAGGGAAUUUUCGGCAAUGGGGGGAACCCUGACCGAGCAACGCCGCGUGAGUGAAGAAGGUCUUCGGAUUGUAAAGCUCUGUUGUAAGGGAAGAACGUCAGGCAGAAGAUGCCUGAGUGACGGUACCUUACCAGAAAGCCACGGCUAACUACGUGCCAGCAGCCGCGGUAAUACGUAGGUGGCGAGCGUUAUCCGGAAUUAUUGGGCGUAAAGGGUGCGUAGGCGGCUGAUUAAGUUCGUGGUUAAAGCGUGGGGCUCAACCCCAUAAAGCCACGGAUACUGGUCAGCUAGAGUACUGGAGAGGGCAGUGGAAUUCCAUGUGUAGCGGUAAAAUGCGUAGAUAUAUGGAGGAACACCGGUGGCGAAGGCGGCUGCCUGGACAGAGACUGACGCUGAGGCACGAAAGCGUGGGGAGCAAAUAGGAUUAGAUACCCUAGUAGUCCACGCCGUAAACGAUGAAUGCUUGGUAUCGGGGCAACCCGGUGCCGAAACUAACGCGCUAAGCAUUCCGCCUGUGGAGUAUGCACGC